This 443-nucleotide ribosomal RNA is filed under the name uncultured bacterium. RNAcentral describes it as "partial 16S ribosomal RNA". It matches the Rfam family "Bacterial small subunit ribosomal RNA", at positions 338 to 795 of the family's 1533-position model. The record is from RNAcentral.
CCUACGGGAGGCAGCAGUGGGGAAUAUUGCGCAAUGGGCGCAACCCUGACCCAGCAACGCCGCGUGAAGGAAGAAGGCUUUCGGGUUGUAAACUUCUUUUCUCAGGGAAGAAGAAAGUGACGGUACCUGAGGAAUAAGCCACGGCUAACUUCGUGCCAGCAGCCGCGGUAAUACGUAGGUGGCAAGCGUUAUCCGGAUUUACUGGGUGUAAAGGGCGUGUAGGCGGGACUGCAAGUCAGAUGUGAAAACCACGGGCUCAACCUGUGACCUGCAUUUGAAACUGUUAUUCUUGAGUACUGGAGAGGCAGGCGGAAUUCCUAGUGUAGCGGUGAAAUGCGUAGAGAUUAGGAGGAACACUAGUGGCGAAGGCGGUCUGCUAGACAGCAACUGACGCUGAGGCGCGAAAGCGUGGGGAGCAAACAGGAUUAGAUACCCCAGUAGUC